CUUGUUUUUGCUCCCAUAACUGAUUCUGCUUCAAAUCAUGGCCUAAUCCCAACAAUUAUCUAUGGGUGAGCAAUUUUGACAGAGUAAGAAUCUUGCAACUCUAACCAAGCUAUGAUAUGUUAACCAACCUCACUCUGUUACAGUUUGAAUUUGUACUUUUAUUUAUAAGUAGCAGAUGUGCUUGGUCUUGGAAAUUAUGUCACUGAUGAUGAUGAUGAUGAUGAUGAUGAAAUUCAUAUCUCUAGCUUGCCAAAUUCCAGGAAUAAAAAGCUUCAGCAUUCAAAUUUUGAAAAUUCUUCAGAAGACAAGCAUGAUGUUGGUGCAAAUGGCAGUUUGGUAGCCCUUGUUGCAGAAAGGUGCACACAAGACGCAACUUGUCAUGCUCCCCGUCACCUGGCAAGUCUAGAAGUAGAAGAAGUUAAGCAAAUGGACUCACAACAAAGACAAGUGCACAAAGGAUGAUGAAUUGAAGAAUGGAGCAAGUUUCAUGCAUGGUUUACUUUUGUGUAUCUUGUAAUGUUUAUGUUUUUCAUUUUUUAAGUAAAAAUUGUUCAAGAUUAUAAAACUUUAUUAUGUUAUGCUUUCAAACUUAAGUUAGAACUAAGAUCUCAUGAAGUAGACACAUUCAUGGUUUGAAUUAGUUAUUCUUUAAUGUAAUACUUAUGGUUUAUCAAUCUAUUGAGAAUUACAUUUUAUGAUUAA
Long non-coding RNA from Humulus lupulus (European hop), 702 nucleotides. RefSeq lists it as uncharacterized. The record is from RefSeq and is a predicted model, not a curated record. The transcript has 2 exons. NCBI's taxonomy places the organism in Eukaryota, Viridiplantae, Streptophyta, Magnoliopsida, Rosales, Cannabaceae.